UGGGUUGUGGCUCAGUGUUAGAGCACUUGCCUAGGAUGCAGGAGGUACAAUGGGUUCAAUCCUCAUUACCACAU
Ictidomys tridecemlineatus (thirteen-lined ground squirrel) is the source of this 74-nucleotide non-coding RNA. NCBI's taxonomy places the organism in Eukaryota, Metazoa, Chordata, Mammalia, Rodentia, Sciuridae. The record is from Rfam.